This 1197-nucleotide long non-coding RNA is filed under the name Bos indicus x Bos taurus (hybrid cattle). RNAcentral's name for it is "lncRNA (ENSBIXG00000015752.1)". The record is from RNAcentral. Lineage: Eukaryota; Metazoa; Chordata; Mammalia; Artiodactyla; Bovidae.
AGCUAAAGAAAGUUAAGUCGAUAGAAGUAAAAUUAAAUUAUGUAAGCACAAUUGCUUUCCUCAUCCUUAGGUUCCACAUCUGCAGAUUAACUCAAUGUGGUUGCUUGAAUCUGUGGAAGCGGGACCUUGGCUACUGUGGGAACACUGUUUUCUAAAAGGGAAUUGAGCAUCUCUGGAUUCUGGUAUUCAAGCAGGUUGGUGCUGGUGGUAGAGUGUCCUGGAACCAAUCACAGAAAGAAAAUUAUAAAGAGUAAAGGAGCCGUAAUGAAAGAAGAUGGCUACACUGAGCAUGCUUUUGUCAACAAAUAGUUAAUAAUAAGAAACCAAUUUUUUCAACUCUAGGUAAGUGAUCCUCAAAUAUUCACUAUUCUCUGAAACAAAGAUCAGAAUUUCCAAGCUUUGACUAUUCUGAAAAAUCUUUUGUUGUUUCUACUCUUAAUCAUUAUGUAUGUUUUGACAUCAGUGAAAAUCAGAAGAAAUGUGUAAAAAUCAAUAGCAGGAGAAAAGAGGGGGUAUUUAGACAUAUAUUAAUAAUUAAGAAGAAACAGUGAAGUAUAUAAAAAUGUUAAGUUAUUGGUAAAGACAAGUGGUGUCUAAUUAAAAUAUUUAGCUUUCUGAGCUCUGAGCCUACUACUAGCAAACAUGUCUUAAAAUGAAGCCUUAUUCAGAAAGAGCUUCAUGAAUAGAUAUCUUACAUCAAAGUGAUUCACAGUGAUGCUUUGUGAGCUUUGUUUGUGGGAAGUUUAUGUAGUGUAGAGGUUAAGAUCACAGGCUUAGUGCUUAGUCACACCUACGUUUUGAAACCUGAUUCUGCUGCUUCCACUCCCAAGAUCACUGUAAGAUCUUGGGUAAGUUUUAUUUAACCUAUCUAUACCUCAGUUUACUCUUUUGUUAAAGCCAGUAACACUGCAUAACUCACAGAUUGUUUUAGCGGCGUGACUAAUACAGAAGCACUUAGCUUAGCAGGGCUCAGUAAGCUAGAGCAAGAGUUACAUUUUCCUUUUCCAGUGGAAGUUUAGAAAUGUAGGCAGACAGUAAAAUGAUAGCCUUUUAUCAGUGUCCUACAAAACAAAGUGUAGAUCAUCUAGCUCUUUAGUUAGCUGGAUGAAGACAGGCACAAAAGAUAUGAUAGUUUAAUCCUCAAGGUUAGCCUUUUGGGCUUUGGGUAAGAGUAGAACAAUCACACCUUUUUCUUGG